RNAcentral lists this ribosomal RNA (465 nucleotides) under uncultured bacterium. RNAcentral's name for it is "partial 16S ribosomal RNA". It matches the Rfam family "Bacterial small subunit ribosomal RNA", at positions 28 to 507 of the family's 1533-position model. The record is from RNAcentral.
GAUGAACGCUGGCGGCGUGCCUAACACAUGCAAGUCGAGCGGAGAAGUGCUGCUUGCAACAAUUCUUAGCGGCGGACGGGUGAGUAACACGUGGGUAACCUGCCCUAAACAAAGGGAUAACAAUGAGAAACCAUGUCUAAUACCGUAUAAGAUCACACUAUCGCAUGAUAGAGGAAGAGAAGAUUUAUCGGUUUAGGAGGGGCCGGCGUCUGAUUAGCUAGUGGGAGAGGUAACGGCUCACCAAGGCGACGAUGAGAAGCCGACCUGAGGGGGGGAUCGGCCAGGUUGGGACUGAGGCACGGCCCACUCUCCGACGGGAGGCAGCAGUGGGUUAUAUUGCACGAUGGAGGCAGCUCUGAUGCAGCAACGCCGCGUGAAGGAGGAAGGUUGUCGGAUCGUACACUUCGAUCUGCAGGAAAGAUAGAAGUGACGGUACCUGGAUAAGAAGCCCCGGCUAACUACGUG